AGUUUGAUCCUGGCUCAGAACGAACGCUGGCGGCGUGGAUAAGACAUGCAAGUCGAACGGGACAACAUUUGUAGCAAUACAGAUGUUGUUUAGUGGCGAACGGGUGCGUAACACGUGGGCAAUCUGCCGAGAAGUGGGGGAUAGCUCGCCGAAAGGCGAAUUAAUACCGCAUAUGAUCAGGGACGACAUCUUCCCAACAUCAAAGCCGGGGUAACCUGGCGCUUCUUGAUGAGCCCGCGGCCUAUCAGCUAGUUGGUGAGGUAACGGCUCACCAAGGCUAUGACGGGUAGCUGGUCUGAGAGGACGACCAGUCACACUGGAACUGAGACACGGUCCAGACACCUACGGGUGGCAGCAGUCGAGAAUUUUUUCACAAUGGGGGCAACCCUGAUGGAGCGACGCCGCGUGGAGGAUGAAGGCUUUCGGGUUGUAAACUCCUGUCAUUUGAGAACAAGUGUAGCUAGGUAACUACUGGCUACUUGAUAGUAUCAGAAGAGGAAGAGACGGCUAACUCUGUGCCAGCAGCCGCGGUAAUACAGAGGUCUCAAGCGUUGUUCGGAUUCAUUGGGCGUAAAGGGUGCGUAGGUGGCGGGGGUAAGUCAGGUGUGAAAUUUCGGAGCUUAACUCCGAAACUGCAUUUGAUACUGCCUUGCUUGAGGACUGGAGAGGAGACUGGAAUUCACGGUGUAGCAGUGAAAUGCGUAGAGAUCGUGAGGAAGACCAGUGGCGAAGGCGGGUCUCUGGACAGUUCCUGACACUGAGGCACGAAGGCCAGGGGAGCAAACGGGAUUAGAUACCCCGGUAGUCCUGGCAGUAAACGGUGCACGUUUGGUGUGGGGGGAUUCGACCCCUUCCGCGCCGGAGCUAACGCGUUAAACGUGCCGCCUGGGGAGUACGGUCGCAAGAUUAAAACUCAAAGAAAUUGACGGGGGCCCGCACAAGCGGUGGAGUAUGUGGCUUAAUUCGAUGCAACGCGAAGAACCUUACCAGGCCUUGACAUGCAUUUCUAAGUUGGUGAAAGCCAGCGAAUGUCGAAAGACAUAACUUGCACAGGUGCUGCAUGGCUGUCGUCAGCUCGUG
RNAcentral lists this ribosomal RNA (1080 nucleotides) under uncultured bacterium. Its description in RNAcentral is "bacterial SSU rRNA". It matches the Rfam family "Bacterial small subunit ribosomal RNA", at positions 10 to 1064 of the family's 1533-position model. The record is from RNAcentral.